GGGGCAUUAGCUCAAUUGGCAGAGCAACGGACUCUUAAUCCGCAGGUUGUAGGUUCGAUUCCUACAUGCCCCACCA
Molecule: transfer RNA, 76 nt
Filed under: Gammaproteobacteria bacterium
Lineage: Bacteria; Pseudomonadati; Pseudomonadota; Gammaproteobacteria
Also listed under: 1 other name
Description: tRNA-Lys
Rfam family: tRNA
About the family: Transfer RNA (tRNA) molecules are approximately 80 nucleotides in length.
Source: RNAcentral